This 395-nucleotide ribosomal RNA is filed under the name Cardinium endosymbiont of Sepsis punctum. RNAcentral describes it as "bacterial SSU rRNA". It matches the Rfam family "Bacterial small subunit ribosomal RNA", at positions 474 to 873 of the family's 1533-position model. Lineage: Bacteria; Pseudomonadati; Bacteroidota; Cytophagia; Cytophagales; Amoebophilaceae. The record is from RNAcentral.
UUUACUGUAAGGAUAAGCACCGGCUAAUUCCGUGCCAGCAGCCGCGGUAAUACGGAAGGUGCAAGCGUUAUCCGGUUUUAUUGGGUUUAAAGGGUGCGUAGGCGGCUUAUUAAGUCAGUUGUGAAAUCCUAGUGCUUAACGCUAGAACUGCAAUUGAUACUAUUAGGCUUGAGUUAAGAAUAGGUAAGUAGAAUUUAUGGUGUAGUAGUGAAAUGCUUAGAUAUCAUAAGGAAUACCAAUAGCGUAGGCAGCUUACUGGUCUUUAACUGACGCUGAGGCACGAAAGCGUGGGGAGCAAACAGGAUUAGAUACCCUGGUAGUCCACGCCGUAAACGAUGAUCACUCGGUAUACAUAAAUUUAUGUGUGUCUAAGCGAAAGCGUUAGUUGAUCCACA